RNAcentral lists this ribosomal RNA (254 nucleotides) under uncultured bacterium. Its description in RNAcentral is "partial 16S ribosomal RNA". It matches the Rfam family "Bacterial small subunit ribosomal RNA", at positions 524 to 776 of the family's 1533-position model. The record is from RNAcentral.
UACGUAGGGACCAAGCGUUGUCCGGAAUCAUUGGGCGUAAAGAGCGUGUAGGCGGCCUGUUAAGUCUUGCGUGAAAAUCUCGGGGCUCAACCCCGAGCGGUCGUGAGAAACUGGCAGGCCAGAGUGCGGGAGAGGAGAGUGGAAUUCCUGGUGUAGCGGUGAAAUGCGCAGAUAUCAGGAAGAACACCCGUGGCGAAGGCGGCUCUCUGGAACGCAACUGACGCUGAGACGCGAAAGCGUGGGGAGCAAACAGG